This 404-nucleotide ribosomal RNA is filed under the name Actinomycetes bacterium. Its description in RNAcentral is "Actinobacteria bacterium partial 16S ribosomal RNA". It matches the Rfam family "Bacterial small subunit ribosomal RNA", at positions 355 to 776 of the family's 1533-position model. The record is from RNAcentral. Lineage: Bacteria; Bacillati; Actinomycetota; Actinomycetes.
UGGGGAAUAUUGGACAAUGGGCGCAAGCCUGAUCCAGCCAUGCCGCGUGAGUGAUGAAGGCCCUAGGGUUGUAAAGCUCUUUCACCGGUGAAGAUAAUGACGGUAACCGGAGAAUAAGCCCCGGCUAACUUCGUGCCAGCAGCCGCGGUAAUACGAAGGGGGCUAGCGUUGUUCGGAUUUACUGGGCGUAAAGCGCACGUAGGCGGACUAUUAAGUCAGGGGUGAAAUCCCGGGGCUCAACCCCGGAACUGCCUUUGAUACUGGUAGUCUUGAGUUCGAGAGAGGUAAGUGGAAUUCCGAGUGUAGAGGUGAAAUUCGUAGAUAUUCGGAGGAACACCAGUGGCGAAGGCGGCUCACUGGCUAGAUACUGACGCUGAGGUGCGAAAGCGUGGGGAGCAAACAGG